Molecule: small nuclear RNA, 103 nt
Organism: Mustela putorius furo (domestic ferret)
Lineage: Eukaryota; Metazoa; Chordata; Mammalia; Carnivora; Mustelidae
Source: Ensembl
GUGCUCACUUCAGCAGCACAUACACUAAAAUUGGAAUGAUACAGAGGUUAGCAGGCCCCUGCACAAGGAUGAUACACAAAUUCAUGGAGUGUCCCGUAUUUAA